UAGGAGCCGGCGGCGUGCUCGCUAGAUGAUGGCCGCCGGCGCGCAUUGCGCGUUUUCUUCUCUCGCCUGCUGAGGCGCCAGCGGCUGCUUCACGAGUGGGUAGAGAGUUCCUCCGUGCUGUUCCCGGUGUUGCGGUGCUGGGUUGUGCGACUGUGACUCGAGCCUGUUUCAGCCUCGUUCUUCUGGUCUCUGUUCGGCCCUCAGUUUCCUUUGGAUGAACUUGCGUCCUUUCUCUAAUCCGCCAUGGAAUUCUGCUCCGUGCUUUUAGCCGUCCAGAGCCAAAGAAACCCCAGACAACAGACGCUCAAACGCAGCGUAUAGCAGUAACUCCCCAGCUCGGUUUCUGUGCCGUAGUUUACAGUAUUUAAUUUUAUAUAAUAUAUACUAUUUAUUAUAGCAUUUUUUGAUACCUCAUU
This 416-nucleotide long non-coding RNA is filed under the name Rattus norvegicus (Norway rat). RNAcentral describes it as "long non-coding RNA NONRATT019677". Lineage: Eukaryota; Metazoa; Chordata; Mammalia; Rodentia; Muridae. The record is from RNAcentral.